UGGGGAAUUUUGGACAAUGGGCGCAAGCCUGAUCCAGCCAUGCCGCGUGGAUGAUGAAGGCCCUAGGGUUGUAAAGUCCUUUCGACGGGGAAGAUAAUGACGGUACCCGUAGAAGAAGCCCCGGCUAACUUCGUGCCAGCAGCCGCGGUAAUACGAAGGGGGCUAGCGUUGCUCGGAAUCACUGGGCGUAAAGCGCACGUAGGCGGACUCUUAAGUCGGUGGUGAAAUCCUGGAGCUCAACUCCAGAACUGCCUUCGAUACCGAGAGUCUCGAGUCCGAGAGAGGUGAGUGGAACUGCGAGUGUAGAGGUGAAAUUCGUAGAUAUUCGCAAGAACACCAGUGGCGAAGGCAGCUCACAAAACUGUAACUGACGCUGAGGCACGAAAGUGCGGGGAUCAAACAGGAUUAGAUACCCGCGUAGUCCCUGAGCGGGCUGGCAAGGCGCAU
RNAcentral lists this ribosomal RNA (447 nucleotides) under uncultured bacterium. RNAcentral's name for it is "bacterial SSU rRNA". It matches the Rfam family "Bacterial small subunit ribosomal RNA", at positions 355 to 825 of the family's 1533-position model. The record is from RNAcentral.